Molecule: ribosomal RNA, 497 nt
Filed under: uncultured bacterium
Lineage: Bacteria
Description: partial 16S ribosomal RNA
Rfam family: Bacterial small subunit ribosomal RNA
Source: RNAcentral
GACGAACGCUGGCGGCGUGCCUAAUACAUGCAAGUUGAGCGCUGAAGGUUGGUACUUGUACCAACUGGAUGAGCAGCGAACGGGUGAGUAACGCGUGGGGAAUCUGCCUUUUAGCGGGGGACAACAUUUGGAAACGAAUGCUAAUACCGCAUAACAACUUUAAACACAAGUUUUAAGUUUGAAAGAUGCAAUUGCAUCACUCAAAGAUGAUCCCGCGUUGUAUUAGCUAGUUGGUGAGGUAAAGGCUCACCAAGGCGAUGAUACAUAGCCGACCUGAGAGGGUGAUCGGCCACAUUGGGACUGAGACACGGCCCAAACUCCUACGGGAGGCAGCAGUAGGGAAUCUUCGGCAAUGGACGAAAGUCUGACCGAGCAACGCCGCGUGAGUGAAGAAGGGUUUCGGAUCGUAAAACUCUGUUGGUAGAGAAGAACGGUGGUGAGAGUGGAAAGCUCAUCAAGUGACGGUAACUACCCAGAAAGGGACGGCUAACUACGUG